UACGGAGGGGGCUAGCGUUGUUCGGAAUUACUGGGCGUAAAGCGCGCGUAGGCGGACCUGCAAGUCGGGGGUGAAAGCCCGAGGCUCAACCUCGGAACUGCCUUCGAUACUGCGGGUCUCGAGUCCGGGAGAGGUGAGUGGAAUUCCUAGUGUAGAGGUGAAAUUCGUAGAUAUUAGGAAGAACACCAGUGGCGAAGGCGGCUCACUGGCCCGGUACUGACGCUGAGGCGCGAAAGCGUGGGUAGCGAACAGG
This 253-nucleotide ribosomal RNA is filed under the name uncultured bacterium. RNAcentral describes it as "partial 16S ribosomal RNA". It matches the Rfam family "Bacterial small subunit ribosomal RNA", at positions 524 to 776 of the family's 1533-position model. The record is from RNAcentral.